Molecule: ribosomal RNA, 742 nt
Filed under: marine metagenome
Description: bacterial SSU rRNA
Rfam family: Bacterial small subunit ribosomal RNA
Source: RNAcentral
UAGAUACCCCUGUAGUCCUGGCCGUAAACGAUGAACACUAGGUGUCGGGGGAAUCGACCCCCUCGGUGUCGUAGCCAACGCGUUAAGUGUUCCGCCUGGGGAGUACGCACGCAAGUGUGAAACUCAAAGGAAUUGACGGGGGCCCGCACAAGCGGUGGAGUAUGUGGUUUAAUUCGAUGCAACGCGAAGAACCUUACCAGGGUUUGACAUCCUGCGAAUCUCCUGGAAACGGGAGAGUGCCUUCGGGAACGCAGUGACAGGUGGUGCAUGGCUGUCGUCAGCUCGUGUCGUGAGAUGUUGGGUUAAGUCCCGCAACGAGCGCAACCCACGUCUUUAGUUGCCAGCAUUCAGUUGGGCACUCUAGAGAGACCGCCGGUGAUAAACCGGAGGAAGGUGUGGAUGACGUCAAGUCAUCAUGCCCCUUACAUCCUGGGCUACACACGUACUACAAUGCUACGGACAAAGGGCAGCAAACUCGCGAGAGCUAGCAAAUCCCAUAAACCGUGGCUCAGUUCAGAUCGUAGGCUGCAACUCGCCUACGUGAAGGAGGAAUCGCUAGUAAUCGCAGGUCAGCAUACUGCGGUGAAUACGUUCCCGGGCCUUGUACACACCGCCCGUCACACCAUGGAAGUUGGCCACGCCCGAAGCCGUUACUCCAACCCUUGUGGAGGAGGACGUCGAAGGUGGGGCUGAUGACUGGGGUGAAGUCGUAACAAGGUAGCCGUACCGGAAGGUGCGGCUG